CUUACACAUGCAAGUCGAACGAUGAAGUCCCUUCGGGGAUGGAUUAGUGGCGAACGGGUGAGGAACACGUGAAGAAUCUGCCCUCCACUUUGGGAUAACCCCGGGAAACCGGUGCUAAUACCGAAUAUUGAAAUGUAAGUGGCAUCACUGAAUUUUGAAAGAAUUUCGGUGGAGGAUGACUUCGCGGCCUAUCAGCUUGUUGGUGAGGUAAUGGCUCACCAAGGCGACGACGGGUAUCCGGCCUGAGAGGGCGACCGGACACACUGGGACUGAGACACGGCCCAGACUCCUACGGGAGGCAGCAGUGGGGAAUAUUGGGCAAUGGACGAAAGUCUGACCCAGCGACGCCGCGUGAGGGAUGAAGGCCUUCGGGUUGUAAACCUCUUUCAGUAGGGAAGAAGCGAAAGUGACGGUACCUAAAGAAGAAGCACCGGCUAACUAUGUGCCAGCAGCCGCGGUAAUACAUAGGGUGCAAGCGUUGUCCGGAAUUAUUGGGCGUAAAGAGCUCGUAGGUGGUUUGUUGCGUCGGGUGUGAAAUUCAGGGGCUCAACCCCUGACUGCACUCGAU
Molecule: ribosomal RNA, 568 nt
Filed under: uncultured Actinomycetes bacterium
Lineage: Bacteria; Bacillati; Actinomycetota; Actinomycetes
Description: bacterial SSU rRNA
Rfam family: Bacterial small subunit ribosomal RNA
Source: RNAcentral